Molecule: ribosomal RNA, 516 nt
Filed under: uncultured bacterium
Lineage: Bacteria
Description: bacterial SSU rRNA
Rfam family: Bacterial small subunit ribosomal RNA
Source: RNAcentral
UAGUCCACGCAGUAAACGAUGAAUGUUAGUCGUCGGGGGGCUCGUCCUUUCGGUGAUGCAGCUAACGCAUUAAACAUUCCGCCUGGGGAGUACGGUCGCAAGAUUAAAACUCAAAGAAAUUGACGGGGGCCCGCACAAGCGGUGGAGCAUGUGGUUUAAUUCGAAGCAACGCGCAGAACCUUACCUACCCUUGACAUGCCGGUCGCGAUUUCCAGAGAUGGAUUUCUUCAAUUCGGUUGGACCGUGCACAGGUGCUGCAUGGCUGUCGUCAGUUCGUGUCGUGAGAUGUUGGGUUAAGUCCCGCAACGAGCGCAACCCUCACUCUUAGUUGCCAGCAUUUAGUUGGGCACUCUAGGAGAACUGCCGGUGCUAAGCCGGAGGAAGGUGGGGGAUGACGUCAAGUCCUCAUGGGCCCUUACGGGGUAGGGGCUACACACGUGCUACAAUGGCGCUGACAGAGGGGUUAAUCCCUAAAAGGCGUCUCAGUUCGGGAUUGUCUUCUGCAACUCGAAGACA